UACGACUACAUAUCAGGCAUAUCAAUAGCGGAGGAAAAGAAACUAACUAGGAUUCCCUUAGUAACGGCGAGUGAAGCGGGAAGAGCUCAAAUUUGAAAUCUUCAAGGUUUUACCUUGACGAAUUGUAGUUUAAAGAAGUGUUUUCUGUUGAAGUUUUGGUAAAAGUUCUUUGGAAUAGGACAUCAUAGAGGGUGAGAAUCCCGUAUUUGACCAUUAUUUUCAGCUGUGUGAUACACUUUCAAAGAGUCGGAUUGUUUGGGAAUGCAGUCCAAAAUGGGUGGUAAAUUUCAUCUAAAGCUAAAUAUUGGCGAGAGACCGAUAGCGAACAAGUACCGUGAGGGAAAGAUGAAAAGAACUUUGAAAAGAGAGUUAAACAGUACGUGAAAUUGUCAAAAGGGAAGCGUUUGACACCAGUGUUGUUUUCUCGAAAAUCAAUUAAAAAUAGUUGGAUUUUGUGUUGUAUUGACCUUAACAGCUUGCUUCACUCUUUUCCAGCUUUUUUUAAUGCACUUUUCGUUUAACAAGUCAACAUCAGUUUCUUUUGUUGUAAAAGGGUCAUUGGAAGGUGGCUUUCUCUUCGGAGAAAGUGUUUAUAGCCUUUGAUCUCUGCAAUCGGAGAGACUGAGGUCUGCAGCGUAGAUCCUUCGGGGUUAGAUACAUUUGUGCUAAGCUACAGCUUUUCAUAGACAACUUGUUGACUAUGUUUAGUCUUGUGACUUACCCGCUUAUGCUAUUUUACCUACGCUUAGGAUGUUGAGCGCAUGUCUCUCUCU
This 773-nucleotide ribosomal RNA is filed under the name uncultured Neocallimastigales. Its description in RNAcentral is "partial large subunit ribosomal RNA". It matches the Rfam family "Eukaryotic large subunit ribosomal RNA", at positions 16 to 616 of the family's 3401-position model. The record is from RNAcentral. Lineage: Eukaryota; Fungi; Neocallimastigomycota; Neocallimastigomycetes; Neocallimastigales.